GACGAACGCUGGCGGCGUGCUUAACACAUGCAAGUCGAACGGAAAGGCCCAGCUUGCUGGGUGCUCGAGUGGCGAACGGGUGAGUAACACGUGGGUGAUCUGCCCCUAACUUCGGGAUAAGCUUGGGAAACUGGGUCUAAUACCGGAUAGGACAAUCGUUUAGUGGCGGUUGUGGAAAGUUUUUUCGGUUAGGGAUGAGCCCGCGGCCUAUCAGCUUGUUGGUGGGGUAAUGGCCUACCAAGGCGUCGACGGGUAGCCGGCCUGAGAGGGUGGACGGCCACAUUGGGACUGAGAUACGGCCCAGACUCCUACGGGAGGCAGCAGUGGGGAAUAUUGCACAAUGGGCGCAAGCCUGAUGCAGCGACGCCGCGUGGGGGAUGACGGCCUUCGGGUUGUAAACCUCUUUCGACAGGGACGAAGCUUUGGUGACGGUACCUGUAUAAGAAGCACCGGCUAACUACGUG
RNAcentral lists this ribosomal RNA (464 nucleotides) under uncultured bacterium. RNAcentral describes it as "partial 16S ribosomal RNA". It matches the Rfam family "Bacterial small subunit ribosomal RNA", at positions 28 to 507 of the family's 1533-position model. The record is from RNAcentral.